RNAcentral lists this ribosomal RNA (253 nucleotides) under uncultured bacterium. RNAcentral describes it as "partial 16S ribosomal RNA". It matches the Rfam family "Bacterial small subunit ribosomal RNA", at positions 524 to 776 of the family's 1533-position model. The record is from RNAcentral.
UACGGAGGGGGCUAGCGUUGUUCGGAAUUACUGGGCGUAAAGCGCACGUAGGCGGAUCAGUCAGUUAGGGGUGAAAUCCCAGGGCUCAACCCUGGAACUGCCUUUAAGACUGCAUCGCUUGAAUCCAGGAGAGGUGAGUGGAAUUCCGAGUGUAGAGUUGAAAUUCGUAGAUAUUCGGAAGAACACCAGUGGCGAAGGCGGCUCACUGGACUGGUAUUGACGCUGAGGUGCGAAAGCGUGGGGAGCAAACAGG